This 498-nucleotide ribosomal RNA is filed under the name uncultured bacterium. Its description in RNAcentral is "partial 16S ribosomal RNA". It matches the Rfam family "Bacterial small subunit ribosomal RNA", at positions 30 to 523 of the family's 1533-position model. The record is from RNAcentral.
AUUGAACGCUGGCGGCAUGCUUUACACAUGCAAGUCGAACGGUAACAGGCCGCAAGGUGCUGACGAGUGGCGAACGGGUGAGUAAUGCAUCGGAACGUGCCCAGUCGUGGGGGAUAACGCAGCGAAAGCUGCGCUAAUACCGCAUACGAUCUAUGGAUGAAAGCGGGGGACCGUAAGGCCUCGCGCGAUUGGAGCGGCCGAUGUCAGAUUAGGUAGUUGGUGGGGUAAAGGCUCACCAAGCCGACGAUCUGUAGCUGGUCUGAGAGGACGACCAGCCACACUGGGACUGAGACACGGCCCAGACUCCGACGGGAGGCAGCAGUGGGGAAUUUUGGACAAUGGGGGCAACCCUGAUUCAGCAAUGCCGCGUGCAGGAAGAAGGCCUUCGGGUUGUAAACUGCUUUUGUACGGAACGAAACGGCUCUGGUUAAUACCUGGGGCUAAUGACGGUACCGUAAGAAUAAGCACCGGCUAACUACGUGCCAGCCGCCGCCGUAA